CGAUGUCGAUUUGGAGGUUGUGCCCUUGAGGCGUGGCUUCCGGAGCUAACGCGUUAAAUCGACCGCCUGGGGAGUACGGCCGCAAGGUUAAAACUCAAAUGAAUUGACGGGGGCCCGCACAAGCGGUGGAGCAUGUGGUUUAAUUCGAUGCAACGCGAAGAACCUUACCUACUCUUGACAUCCAGAGAACUUUCCAGAGAUGGAUUGGUGCCUUCGGGAACUCUGAGACAGGUGCUGCAUGGCUGUCGUCAGCUCGUGUUGUGAAAUGUUGGGUUAAGUCCCGCAACGAGCGCAACCCUUAUCCUUUGUUGCCAGCGAUUCGGUCGGGAACUCAAAGGAGACUGCCGGUGAUAAACCGGAGGAAGGUGGGGAUGACGUCAAGUCAUCAUGGCCCUUACGAGUAGGGCUACACACGUGCUACAAUGGCGUAUACAAAGAGAAGCGAACUCGCGAGAGCAAGCGGACCUCAUAAAGUACGUCGUAGUCCGGAUUGGAGUCUGCAACUCGACUCCAUGAAGUCGGAAUCGCUAGUAAUCGUAGAUCAGAAUGCUACGGUGAAUACGUUCCCGGGCCUUG
Molecule: ribosomal RNA, 576 nt
Filed under: Serratia sp. J66
Lineage: Bacteria; Pseudomonadati; Pseudomonadota; Gammaproteobacteria; Enterobacterales; Yersiniaceae
Description: bacterial SSU rRNA
Rfam family: Bacterial small subunit ribosomal RNA
Source: RNAcentral